UACGUAGGGUGCGAGCGUUGUUCGGAAUCACUGGGCGUAAAGGGAGCGUAGGCGGAACUGUAAGUUAGAAGUUUAAUACAUGGGCUCAACCCGUGGUCUGCUUUUAAUACUGCGGUUCUUGAGUAUGGGAGAGGGCGAUGGAAUUCCAGGUGUAGCGGUGGAAUGCGUAGAUAUCUGGAAGAACACCAGUAGCGAAGGCGGUCGCCUGGCCCAAUACUGACGCUGAGGCUCGAAAGCUGGGGGAGCAAACAGGAUUAGAUACCCUGGUAGUCCCU
Molecule: ribosomal RNA, 275 nt
Filed under: uncultured prokaryote
Description: partial 16S ribosomal RNA
Rfam family: Bacterial small subunit ribosomal RNA
Source: RNAcentral